AAAAAAAAAGGGGAAAAAGUCAUUUGCCUCAUUGAACUUAAAUUUCUGCCCCACCCUUUUCUUUUUCCAGGAUAGGUACAUGCAGAACAGACUUGUCAGACUUGUUUGUGUUUUCCUUCAAAGUUUGAUCCGGAACAAAAUCAUUAACGUUCAUGACAUCUUUAUUGAAGUUCAAGCAUUCUGCAUUGAGUUCUCACGGAUUAGGGAAGCAGCAGGAUUGUUUAGGCUUCUGAAAACCUUGGAAUAGACUACCCUCCGUUAUUAAUCUUUUGGAACGUUCUGAUGAACUUGUAUUUUUCCUUGCAUUACAUUUUAACUUUAGUUUUCCCUACUAUUUGUUUUCAAUGUAGGUAAACAGCUAGGUGUUUAUAGGGAUUACAGGUAGUAGCUUAGCCUUGUUGAUUUUCUUAUCUGUCAUAAAGAAGAUUUACAAUAAAGAAGAUGGCAAGGGACAAGUCUAUUAAGGUGUUUCCAAAUGCUUCCUAUUGGUAUAAAAAUAGACGCCCGUUUAUUUUU
Long non-coding RNA from Olea europaea var. sylvestris, 516 nucleotides. RefSeq lists it as uncharacterized. Lineage: Eukaryota; Viridiplantae; Streptophyta; Magnoliopsida; Lamiales; Oleaceae. The transcript has 2 exons. The record is from RefSeq and is a predicted model, not a curated record.